Molecule: non-coding RNA, 86 nt
Organism: Mycena rebaudengoi
Lineage: Eukaryota; Fungi; Basidiomycota; Agaricomycetes; Agaricales; Mycenaceae
Source: the annotation of a GenBank genome assembly
CCUCGUGGACCAUGGUGGUCGUCUGGUUUAACUACAGUAAUGAUCUUGUCAACUAGAAGGCGAGGGUUCGAUUCCCUCCGAGGGCA